This 468-nucleotide ribosomal RNA is filed under the name uncultured bacterium. RNAcentral's name for it is "partial 16S ribosomal RNA". It matches the Rfam family "Bacterial small subunit ribosomal RNA", at positions 28 to 507 of the family's 1533-position model. The record is from RNAcentral.
GACGAACGCUGGCGGCGUGCUUAACACAUGCAAGUCGAACGGAAAGGCCCUGCUUUUGUGGGGUGCUCGAGUGGCGAACGGGUGAGUAACACGUGAGUAACCUGCCCUUGACUUUGGGAUAACUUCAGGAAACUGAGGCUAAUACCGGAUAGGAGCUCCUGCUGCAUGGUGGGGGUUGGAAAGUUUCGGCGGUUGGGGAUGGACUCGCGGCUUAUCAGCUUGUUGGUGGGGUAGUGGCUUACCAAGGCUUUGACGGGUAGCCGGCCUGAGAGGGUGACCGGCCACAUUGGGACUGAGAUACGGCCCAGACUCCUACGGGAGGCAGCAGUGGGGAAUAUUGCACAAUGGGCGGAAGCCUGAUGCAGCAACGCCGCGUGCGGGAUGACGGCCUUCGGGUUGUAAACCGCUUUCGCCUGUGACGAAGCGUGAGUGACGAUAAUGGGUAAAGAAGCACCGGCUAACUACGUG